Molecule: unclassified non-coding RNA, 1089 nt
Filed under: Hevea brasiliensis (rubber tree)
Lineage: Eukaryota; Viridiplantae; Streptophyta; Magnoliopsida; Malpighiales; Euphorbiaceae
Source: RNAcentral
GAGAGGCUGACCAAUGAUGGACAAAGCCAGGUUGGCUCAUCUGUGCAGGAUGCCACUGAAGCCAGUGUGGGCCAUUAUGUGUUUUCUGAGGAAACAGGUUGUUGUAAUGUGCAAAUGGGCAACAGUUCCCACUCUGGCUUUGAGAACAGGAAAUUUUCUGUUGAGGAAAUUAGUGUAGGAAUGUCAAGUUCAGGUGCCACUGAACAAAUUGUUGAGGCUUUGAUGUUAGAUGAAAGUGCUUUGGAAGAAAAAUUGGAAGAAAUAUCUUCAAUAGCAAGAAACACCAAUGAACCUGGUUUACAGAACGCUGAUCAAGAUGACAAUUCUGAGGGUGUAAUCUCUGAUUUUUCUUGUUCACAUUCACAAAUCGUGGAUGUGUUCGGAACAUUUCCUAGCAAGAAGUUUGAUCAAGAAUGUGUAUCUGAUGAAAGAAACGUUGCAUUAGCAGGUUUUGGCAUUUCUGAGGAGAGUGGAUCCAAUGGAACUCAAUCCUUCAUUUACUGCGAGAAAUCUGAGAACUCACUAGUAGGGUUGGAUGGUUCAAAAGAACAAGCUGAGGAAACACUGUGUCUCACUAGUGGUGGACCUGGGGAUGUUAACUUUUGUGCUGAAACUUUGCAUGUGACAACCGAAUUACUACCUGAGGAUACAGUUACUGAGCAAGCUGAGGAAAUAGAAUUGGAGACAGUAUUCACCAAGUCUUGUGAUAAUUACCCUCAACUAACAAAUCCAUCUCCUCCUUCGGUAUGUGGCUGUGAUGUGGUGAAUUUUGAAGUUCCAUUGGCAGUGCCAAAAUCCCAUGCUCAAAUGAUCACUGUGGACCCUAUACUUGAUUUGACUGAAGCAGAUUCAAAGAGCAUUAGCUCCAUUUCCAAUUUAUCAGUUUGUCAAUUUGAAAAUGGGAGAAAUAUUGCGUAUCAAAUUGCCAGAGAUGAGCUGCGACCUUCCUUGAAAUCAGUGAGUGGUUUAGAACAACUUCANAACUUCAUGGUGAUUGUGACCUGGAAAAAGCAGUUAGUGUUCCAGUAUCAGAGAAUUCAGAGGAGGAACAAUUCAUUUUCAGUGAUCUUGAUGACUUCAAACACAGAG